GAUGAAGAACGCAGUGAAAUGCGAUAAGUAAUGUGAAUUGCAGAAUUCAGUGAAUCAUCGAAUCUUUGAACGCACAUUGCGCCCGGCAGUACUCUGCCGGGCAUGCCUGUUCGAGCGUCAUUUCAACCCUCAAGCCCUGCUUGGUGUUGGGGCCCCACGGCUGCCGUGGGCCCUGAAAGGAAGUGGCGGGCUCCCUACAACUCCGAGCGUAGUAAUUCAUUAUCUCGCUUAGGGCGUUGGGCGGCGCUCCAGCCGUUAAAGAACCAUCUUUAACUCAAGGUUGACCUCGGAUCAGGUAGGAAUACCCGCUGAACUUAAGCAUAUCAAUAAGCGGAGGA
This 338-nucleotide unclassified non-coding RNA is filed under the name soil metagenome. RNAcentral's name for it is "partial contains 5.8S ribosomal RNA, internal transcribed spacer 2, and large subunit ribosomal RNA". The stretch from base 1 to 120 matches the Rfam family "5.8S ribosomal RNA", at positions 35 to 154 of the family's 154-position model. The record is from RNAcentral.